Molecule: ribosomal RNA, 207 nt
Filed under: uncultured bacterium
Lineage: Bacteria
Description: partial 16S ribosomal RNA
Rfam family: Bacterial small subunit ribosomal RNA
Source: RNAcentral
CGCGUAGGCGGUUUGAUAAGUCGGAUGUGAAAGCCCCGGGCUCAACCUGGGAAUUGCAUUCGAUACUGUCUGACUAGAAUGUGGUAGAGGGAAGUGGAAUUCCAGGUGUAGCGGUGAAAUGCGUAGAUAUCUGGAGGAACAUCAGUGGCGAAGGCGACUUCCUGGACCAACAUUGACGCUGAGGUGCGAAAGCGUGGGGAGCAAACA